Molecule: transfer RNA, 91 nt
Filed under: Betaproteobacteria bacterium
Lineage: Bacteria; Pseudomonadati; Pseudomonadota; Betaproteobacteria
Also listed under: 1 other name
Description: tRNA-Leu
Rfam family: tRNA
About the family: Transfer RNA (tRNA) molecules are approximately 80 nucleotides in length. Their secondary structure includes four short double-helical elements and three loops (D, anti-codon, and T loops).
Source: RNAcentral
GCCCGGGUGGUGAAACUGGUAGACACAAGGGACUUAAAAUCCCUCGACGGGUAAUUCCGUCGUGCAGGUUCGACCCCUGCCCCGGGCACCA